GAUGAACGCUAGCGGCAGGCCUAACACAUGCAAGUCGAGGGAGAAGCCCUUCGGGGCAGAAACCGGCGCACGGGUGCGUAACGCGUAUGCAACCUACCUUUCACAGGGGGAUAGCCCGAAGAAAUUUGGAUUAAUACCCCAUAAUAUUAUUGGAUGGCAUCAUUUGAUAAUUAAAAUUACGAUGGUGAAAGAUGGGCAUGCGUCCUAUUAGCUAGUUGGAGUGGUAACGGCACCCCAAGGCUACGAUAGGUAGGGGUCCUGAGAGGGAGAUCCCCCACACUGGUACUGAGACAGGGACCAGACUCCUACGGGAGGCAGCAGUGAGGAAUAUUGGUCAAUGGUCGGAAGACUGAACCAGCCAUGCCGCGUGCAGGAAGAAUGCCUUAUGGGUUGUAAACUGCUUUUAUAUGGGAAGAAUAAGGAGUACGCGUACUUUGAUGACGUACCAUAUGAAUAAGCAUCGCA
Molecule: ribosomal RNA, 465 nt
Filed under: Capnocytophaga granulosa
Lineage: Bacteria; Pseudomonadati; Bacteroidota; Flavobacteriia; Flavobacteriales; Flavobacteriaceae
Description: bacterial SSU rRNA
Rfam family: Bacterial small subunit ribosomal RNA
Source: RNAcentral